GCCACCCUGGCUCAAUGGCAGAGCACGCGCUUCGUAAGCGUGAGGUUGAGGGUUCGAAUCCCUCGGGUGGCU
RNAcentral lists this transfer RNA (72 nucleotides) under Anaerolineaceae bacterium. RNAcentral's name for it is "tRNA-Thr". It matches the Rfam family "tRNA". From Rfam's summary of the family: Transfer RNA (tRNA) molecules are approximately 80 nucleotides in length. Their secondary structure includes four short double-helical elements and three loops (D, anti-codon, and T loops). Lineage: Bacteria; Bacillati; Chloroflexota; Anaerolineae; Anaerolineales; Anaerolineaceae. RNAcentral also lists the same sequence under 3 other names. The record is from RNAcentral.